CGAUGAACAAAUCCUCACUGCAGGGAAUAGUCACACCACCCAUUGGAUGGUCGAAGCCAAAUUCUUCCUCAGCUUGACUAAGCAAGUCUUGAAAUAAAGGUUCGCUCAAGAAUGAUAUGGGGAUCAUGAAUCUCUUUUUCUGCAUCUCCCCAACAUACACAGCAAAAUGGCCCUUGGGAAUAUCUCUGGUUGCGGAAGACUUCUUGAUCAUACGAAGAAUAGCCAUGAUGAUUUAGUUUUAGUAUAGAUAAGAAAGGUAAAAGAAAUACAAAGGAACUCAAAAGCAGAAAAAAGUUUUGAUGUUUGCUGAGAGCUGUUGUGGAAGAUACCACUUUGGAUGUUUAUAUAGGCAAUAUCGACUCAUUCUGAUGUAUUUUGAGUAGGAAUUUGUGGGCACCAGCAGAAGACAAUGUCACUGAAGUAUCACAUGCUCUUGCCUUCCAAGUAUUGAAAACUUUGUGGUAUUAGUUGAAGAACAAUAGGCCCUACAUUUUUUUGAAUCUUGGAAAGAAGCAUUAUUCAUUAUGGAAUUUUUGAGAAGUCAUAAAGUUCUUGAUUCUGGUGAAGAGCCAUUUGGAUUGGACAUCAGUUAAAGACGAUGAUAUAUCAGUAAUCACAUGGCCCUGCCUUCCAGCUAGUUGACAUGAGUAAUUGCUUUAGCUCAUCAGAUCAAGUUCAAUAGGUCCUGCAUAUAUUUUCCUAUAGGGAACCAAGGAUCUCUAAGAAUCAAAUCCAUAAAAAUUGCUGGUAGCCUAUGAUGCAAACUGUGUCCACUUAUAUACAAACUAUAAGAGAAGAGAAGUCAAAAAUAUGAAAGAUUUCACUGGUGGAGAGGUAUUUGUUGCACUGUUUAUUGACAAUAGCACAUGAAGCAUCACAUGGUGUUGUUGCCAACUCAUUGUCUAAUAUAUAUGAUCUUAGCAAAUUGCUCAUGAAUAUCAUCAGACCCCAGUGUUUUUCAUGACAAGAUAGAGAACAGACUAUCUUUAGAGAUCAAAUUGAUAAUUUACUGCAAUAGUUGACAACUUGUGGGAUCAACAUUCCGGAUGAGAAUAACCCAUGGUAUUUCAAUAGUUUUUGACAAGUGUUUUCAAAUAGUAGAUAACAGAAAUGUUUAUUGACUAUCAAUAUGUCUAUGUUUUGCAUAUCCAUCAAAUUAUGAGUCAGUCAGAACCUUACUGUUGCCAGAAAUUUGAAUCCAUAUUCAAGAAAAGUAUAGAUAUUAUAUCUUAUUAAGAGUUGAUGAAUUUACAUCCAUUUUCUAUCUCAUUCAGUUAACUCAGUAAUUUCACAUUACUGCAGAAUAUCAGAUCUAGUACAUAUUGAGUUAUUUGUACAUUGUACGACGGAUGCUGCCAAGUGCAUCUAAUUUAUUUGGAACCCCAAAGUGUAAUUAUUACCAAUAGAAUGAAUUGUGCCACUAAAGAAUGAAUUGAGAAAACCAUGAGAGUUGAGCAAAAAAUUUCUAUUGCAAUGAAUUGAUUACAUCAAUGUAUGGAAGUAAAAUGUUUCAUUACUUCAAUUACUUUUGAAGUAGAAAAAUGUGUCCUUAGUCUACCUAGUGUUUCUUAUAACUCUCAACUGUACACAGUGGAGUUCCUGGCUUACUACAACUAUACAAAAUUGAGUUAACAAAAAAAUAGGGACUGGUUUCCUUCUCACAUUCUCAAUCGAGAUGUGACAUCGAUGAACAAAUCCUCACUGCAGGGAAUAGUCACACCACCCAUUGGAUGGUCGAAGCCAAAUUCUUCCUCAGCUUGACUAAGCAAGUCUUGAAAUAAAGGUUCGCUCAAGAAUGAUAUGGGGAUCACAAAUCUCUUUUUCUGCAUCUCCCCAACAUACACAGCAAAAUGGCCCUUGGGAAUAUCUCUGGUUGCGGAAGGCUUCUUGAUCAUACGAAGAAUAGCCAUGAUGAUUUAGUUUUAGUAUAGAUAAGAAAGGUAAAAGAAUUACAAGGAACUCAAAAGCAGAGAAAGUUUUGAUGUUUGCUGAGAGCUGUGGUAGUAGAUAUCUCUUUGGAUAUGUUUAUAUAGACAAUGGAAACUCAUACCGAUGUGGUGUUGAAUAAGAAAUUGUGGGCACCAGCAGAAGACAAUGUCACUGAAGUAUCACAUGCUCUUGCCUUCCAAGUAUUGAAAACUUUGUGGUAUUAGUUAAAGAACAAUAGGCCCUACCUUAUUUUGAAACUUCGAUAGAAGCAUAAUUCAUUAUAGAAUUUUUGAGAAGCUAUGACCUGGAACAUGGACCACUAACAUGAAAAACAUAACCACAUUGGGAAACAUAAAAUUUCAUUAAUUAAUAUCCCAAAACAACAAGUAACAUGAGAGAGGUCAAACUCUUCCCAUCUUUGGACUUGAAAGGCUUUAGUUAUCAAGGAUUACAGGCCCUACCUUUUCUUUGAACUUAAAGAGCAAAGUAUCCCUCACAACCAAAUAGCUAAACAAGUAUUGUCUAGGUACACAUCAAAUUUUAUAUGUUGACAUGUUUUUGUUGUAAGAAUUAUUCCUGAGAAAACAAAAAUAGUUUAUAUGGCCAUAAGCUUCCAAUUCCAAGUGCUUCCUAGCAUAGGUUUAUAACUUUUCAUUAAUCAUUAUGGCUCUAAUUGGUUGAAAAGAAUUUGUAUAUGGAGUCUUAGGAAGUGGUUCUAAGAUCUUAAAAUUGUUGUUGUGAUAUCUCAACAUCACAUUCUCACUUACCAUUCUACUUGUCAUUAAAUAAAUAUACAAAGCAAAAGACCAUCAAUAGGCACCUGAUGGAUAUCAUAUGGUUUUACCUUCUAUGUCCUUUUGGGCACUGCUUAUGAUUUGUGAUAUAGUCCUAUUUUCAUGACCAUACAUAAAAAAAGUGAAAAACCAAGUUGAGAAGAGGAAAGAGGAUAAAGGUGAAUUUUUGCGUUGAUCUACAUUGUAGACUCUACAACUAUUUGAAGUAAGUAAAACACAUAAAGCUAUGGUUUGGAUUCAAUAACUUGCAAACAAAUAUUAUUAGUUACUUCUACACAGGCCUCUCUUAGAGAACCAUAGAGUAAAUACAGUUGUGCUAAGGCCUCUCUUAGAGAACCAUAGAGUAAAUACAGUUGUGCUAAUCGAUGCUUUUAGAAACAAGUUGGCAUAGAUAUAUGCAAUGUUUUCUUCUCAUAUCAUAAGUCAUUUGAUCAAAUGGUUGGACCAACUUUGCAGAUCAGAAUUGUCCUGAGUUUUUCAGCUGCUCGAGCGAAAUUCUAAUAAAUCAUCAAACCAGUAUUGAUUUUUCAGAAGAGAAGAAAUAGAAAAUGUCUAAUGAAGUGUGAAGUUGUGAACUAUGAAUGUGACUUCUUCGAUAUUUUGAAAUUUCUUCUGCUGAUUUCAUUUCUUUGGCUGCGCCAAAUAUAUUUCAGUGUUCAGGAUAAGGUCACAGAUGAGUUUUCUUUAGAGUUAAUUAACAUAGACUUCAGCACUUUAUAAGGUCCAAUUCCUAUGUUAUGGAAAGAACAGUCAUGUAAAGAAAUUUGUUGAACAGAAAUAAUAAUACCAAAUUGGAUACUGAAUGAGUCUGAACUGAUUUCAUUUGCUAAACUACUGAAAAUUGUAUUCAAAAUUGGGAUCUAUAGAUCCAGCUGACAGUAGUGAGAAGUAACAAUGUGUGUUUCCUAAUUCCUCUUAUGUACAAACUAAAAAUCCUAUUCUUUACAAAACUGUGAAAAUAAAAGCCUCAGAUCCUAUUCAAGCGAGAAGUAAGAUCAACGAACACAUCUUCACUGCAGGGUAUUGUUACACCACCCAUUGGAUGAUCGAAGCCAAAUUCUUCCUCAGCUUGACUAAGCAAGUCUUGAAAUAAAGGUUGGCUCAAGAAUGAAAUGGGAAUUACAAAUCUCUUCUUUUGGUUCUCCCCAACAUAAACAGCAAAGUGGCCUUUAGGAACAUCUGCGACUGUAGAGGACUUCUUGAUUAUACGAGGCAUACGGAUAGCCAUGGUCUUUUAGUUCAAUAUAUAGAUGAGGAAAUAAGGAAGGGAAGAAUUUGUAAGGACUCUGAAAGAACAGAUAAGCUUUGUAUGACUUAAAUUUUUGGUCAGAGCUGUUAUGGUAAACCCUUCUUUAUAUGUGUUUAUAUAGGCCAAUGACAAGUUGUCAAACCCCACUGAUGUCUGAAUAUACAUUUUGUGGACACCAGCUAAAGACAGUAGCACCUGAAGUAUCACAUGGUUUUGCCUUCCAACUCAUUGUCAUAAUAUUAAUGCAAACUCUCAUGUCCACUUAUAUAAAAACUAUAAGAGAAAACAAAUCAAUCAUAUAGAAGAUUCAACUGGUGGAGAGGCAUUUGUAGUAAUGUUGAUUGACAAUAGCACAUGGUUUUGCUACUCAACUCAUUGUCAAGUAUAUAUGAUCUUAGUCAUUGCACUUCAAUAUUAGCAGUCCCUUGUUUUUCAGGACAAGAUAGAGAACUGAAGAUUUUUAGAAAUCAAUAUGCUAACAUUGAGUCAUUGUCAACAGCAGGAUUUUAUGAGUUUGAUCAGAAUGAUAAUAACAGGUAAAAUUUACUACCAUCUGACCAUUUGCGUAGUCCCUCAAGCUAAGUCAUUAUGUAGGAACAACUUUCCUGAUUAAAAUAAACCAACCCAUUUCAAUAGAUUUUUUCUACAUGUUUCCAAAUAGUAGAGAAUACUAUAUAUUCUUUACUGGCUAUCUCUGUCCAUGUUAUGCGAAUCUCCAUCAAAUUAUUAGUCAGUCAACACCUUAUUAUUGCUACAAAUUCGAAUUUCAUAUUCAAAAGUACAGAUACUAUUUCUUAUGAAGAGUUCAUAAAGUGUAAUUAUCAUUUUUACCAAUUGAAUGAGGUAUGCCACUUAAGAGGACUAGAUUGUAGUUCUUUCUGAUUACCAAACCAUUAGAGUUGAGCAAACAAUUUCUAUUGCAAUGAAUUGAUUACAUCAAUGUAUGGAAGUAAAAAGUUUCAUUACUUCAAUUUCUUUUGAAGUAGAAAAAUGUGUCCUAGUCUAGCUAUUGUUUCUUCUAACUCUCAACUGUACACAGUGGAGUUCCUGGCUUACUAACAACUAUACAAAAUUGUGUAACAAAAAAAUGGGGACUAGUUUCCUUCUCACUUCCUCAAUCGAAAUGUGAGAUCCAUGAACAAAAACUCACUGCAGGGAAUAGUAACACCGCCCAUCGGAUGUUCGAAGCCAAAUUCAUCCUCGGCUUGACUAAGCAAGUCUUGAAACAAAGGUUCGCUCAAGAAUGAUAUUGGAAUUACAAAUCUCUUUUUCUGCAUCUCUCCAACAUACACAGCAAAAUGGCCCUUGGGAAUAUCUCUAGUUGCGGAAUACUUCUUGAUCAUACGGAGAAUAGCCAUGAUCUCUUAGUUUUAGUAUAGAUGAAAAAAAAAGGACUGUUGAGGGAACUCAAAAGCAGAGAAAACGUUGAUGUUUACUCAGUGUUGUGGUGGUAGAUACCUCUUUGGAUAUAUUUAUAUAGGAAAUGGCAACUCAUAUUGAUGUGAAUUGAUUAGGAAUUUGCGGGCUCCAGCAGAAGACAAUGGCACUCAAGUAUCACAUGCUCUUGCCUUCCAAGUAUUGAAAACAUUGUGGUAUUAGUUGACUAACAAUAGGCCCUACCUUUUUUGAAAACUUGGAAAGUAGCGUUAUACAUUACAUAAUUUUUAGGAAGUGAUGAGAAGUCGAUAACCUCUUGAUAUGUGAUGAAGAGCCAGUUGGAUUGGGCAUCACAUGGUCAUGCCUUCCAACUAGUUGACAUGAUUAAUUGUUUUAGCUCAUAUUAGAUCAAGUUCUAUAGGUCCUACAUAUAUUUUCCUAUAGGGAACAAAGGAUCUCUAAGAAUCAAGUCCAUUAAUAUUGCUGGCAGCUUGUGUUGAUUUCAAGGAAUAAAACAUACCCCAGAUGCAAACUUUGUAUCCACUUAUAUACAAAAUAUAUGAGUAAAAUAUGAAAAAUUACACUGGUUGACACUGUUUAUUGAUAACAGAAAUAUUAUGGGCUUUCAACAUGUCUGUGUUUGCAAAUCUCCAUAAAAUUAUGAGUCGGUCAAAAAGAAGACGACUGGACUGAGGAGAAGGAGAAGAGGCAGCACAGAAUUGAGAGGAAACUGAAAAAGAAGUCGACUUUCAUGAAGACAGUAGAAAAGAGGAAGUGAGGGUAACUGAACACUCCCCAACCCUAGAAGAUAGUGCCAUGCAAGUUUCAGCUAUGUUGAGAAGUGAUUAUAACAUCUACGGGUUGACAACAAUUGAAGAUGCAGUACCUUUAAACCAACAUAACCCAGGGGAAGGGGAGGUCCGAAUUUUGAUAUUCCUAUAUGGAUUCAUCAGAACAUUAUCAAAUUUGCCAAAGAAUUUGGUGUCGACAUCACGGGGUGCAAAGAGGAACUAAACAUGAGACAAAAAAAUUCGACAAUGAAGAAACGAACAGGAGAAUGACCUCAGAAACAAGGGAGCAAAGAAUGAAUCUCGAGUGCGGAAGUAAUUUCAGAAGCAAAGGCACAAGAAGGGGGUGGGGGUGGGCUACAGAUCAGCAAAUGCUCAUAGAAGCUAUAACAAUAUUGAUGAAUUAAUGGUGGAUGGGGAAGCAACCCAAAAACCAGAAGUUAUAAAGAAGGAGAUUGAGGAGUUCUAUUAAAGAAUAUAUACUGAAACUGAGACAUGGAGGCCAGCUGGAGGAUGCAGGGCAGACCACAGAGCACAGAGUUUCUAUUGAAGACAAUCAUUCUAUGUAAGCUAGAUAUACAAAAAGCUUUGGAGGUAGAUGGAUAAGAUGGAUGAAGUUCUGCAAAAGCACCGUCAAAUUCUCUGUCCUUAUCAAUCAAUGGCUCCCCUACAGGUGAGCCUUCUCCUCACAGAGAGGUCUAAGGCAAGGAGACCCAUUAUCUCCUUUUCUCUUCAUCAUUGCCAUGGGAAGUCUUAAUGAUAUGUUGAGAAUUGCUCAAGAAAAUAGCUGGUUGAAGGGAUUCAAAGCUGCACACAGGGAAGGCUCAAACUUGGAGAUACUCAUUUGCUUUGCAGUACGCUGAUGAUACAUUUAUCUUUUGUGAGGCUAUUAAGAACCAACCCAUGAUUCUCAAGGUCAUUUUUGUUCUUUUUGAAGCAAUCCUACGAUCACACAUCAACUGGAAUAAGAGCUUCAUAUAUCCAGUUAAUGAGGUUUCUAACCUAACCUAAUUGGCUGGGGUCCUUGGUGGAAGUAUUGGGAAGCUACCAACUGUCUACUUGGGCAUGCCUCUGGGUGAUCAGAAUAUGUCUAUAGAUAUAUGGAAUGGGGUGGUAAAGAACUGCGAGAAGAGGUUGGUAAACUGAAAAAGUCAAUAUCUCUCCUUAGGAGGAAGACUAGCACUAAUCAAUAGUGUUUUGGACUCUAUACCUACCUAUAUGAUGUCCCUCUUCCCUAUCCCUGAUGGGGUCAUUGAGAGAUUGGAUGUUCUAAGAAGAAAUUCAGUGAAACCAAGAAGUUCCACUUGGUGAAAUGGGAUGCACUGAUUGGAAGUGAACAAAAAGGGGGUAUGGGGGUGAGGAACUUAAAAACUCAGAACCAAUGUCUUAUGAUGAAAUGGCUCUGGAUAAUUGCUUCUAGGGAGUCAGCUCUCUGGAAAGAAGUUAUCCAGCUGAAGUAUGAAAUGGCAGAUCAUUGGACCACCAGAAUGGUCACCGAUACUUAUGGGAUCAACCUUUGGAGAUCCAUCAGAAACCUGUGGCCAAAGCUUAGAGAAAAUUGCAGCAUAAGAACAGAAGAUGGCAGGAAGGUACUUUUCUAGGAAUACAAGUGGUUACAUCAAGCCCCCCUAAGGGACACCUUCAAUGAUAUUUACACCCUAACCAACAACAAAGGGCCACUGUGGAUGAUGUCUAGUCUAACCAGGGAUGGAAUUUGAGCUUUAGAAGACCUUUUAAUGACUAGGAGAUUUUGAGGUUAGUUGAGUUCUACAGCAAAUUGGAGCAAUUCAAAGGAACCUUCACUGACCAAGAUAGAUUGGAGUGGAAGGGCCACAGUCAAGGUAGUUUCAGUAUGAAAGGGGCCUAAAAAAAAUUUAACCCUAAUAAUUAUCAGAUUGAGGACUGGCCUUGGAAGCUUAUAUGGAAAGUCAAAAUUUCUUAUGAAGUUUCCUGCUUCACUUGGCUUGUGGCCAAACAAGCUGUUUUAACCCAAGAAAACCUCAUGAAAAGGGGGAUACAUCUAAGUCCAAGGUGUUUUUUUUGGGAAGAAAAGGCUGAGACUGUAACCCACCUUUUUUGUACACUACAGGAUUACCCGUCAACUAUGGGAAAUAUUCCCAAGUAAGAAGGGCCUGAAUUGGGUAAUGCCAAGGAAAAUAAAUCAGACUUUGAAGAUCUGGAGCAGUUAUGCUAGCAUGUCAGACCAUAAGGAUAGGUGGAAAAUUGCACCAGCUUGAAUUUGGUGGGCUGCUUGGCGAUGAAGAUGAAGUGUUUAGUUUUGUUUCACUUUUGGUGUAAACAGGAGUAUAGGGAAGAUCUAGAAUCAAUUAAAGAUGUCUUAGGAUUAUUGUAAUUUUUUGUUGAAAGGGUUGAAGUUCUUCUAGAUACUCCCCUCCUCAAUUGUAAUUAGGAAACCUGUAACUUGUCGUGGCAGGUUUCUGUUUUUGUGGAAAUAGAAUACAAGUCGUUACCUUCUCAAAAAAAAAGUAUAAACAUGAAAUACAAAUUAUUAAGAGUUAAUCAAUUUACAUCCAGUUCUAUUGGAUUGAGUUUAACUCAGUACUUUCACAUUGCUGCAGAAUGGCAGAUCUAGUACAUCUUGAGUUACACUUCAUUGUAUGAUGAACACUACCAUGUGUAUUUUAACUUCAUUUUGACCACAAAGUAUAAUUCUUACCAACGGAAUGAGUUGUGGCACUUUAGAAGACUAGAUUCUGACUACAAAACGACGAGAGUUGAGCAAAAAGUUUCUAUUGCAAUGAAUUGUUUACAUCGAUGUAUGGCACAGAAUGAAACCAUGCAAAUAAAAAGUUUCAUUACUUCAAUUUCUUUUGAAGUAGAAAAAUGUUUCCUUAGUCUAACUAGUGUUUCUUCUAACUCUGAACUGUACAGUGUCUAUCCUGGUUUACUACAACUAUACAAAAUUAUGUAACUAAAAAAAUGGGGACUGGUUUCCUUCUCACUUCCGCAAUCGAGAUGUGAGAUCGAUGAACAAAUCCUCGCUGCAGGGAAUAGUCACACCACCCAUUGGAUGGUCGAAGCCAAAUUCUUCCUCAGAUUGACUAAGCAAGUCUUGAAAUAAAGGUUGGCUCAAGAAUGAUAUCGGGAUCACAAAUCUCUUCUUCUGCAUCUCCCCAACAUACACAGCAAAAUGACCCUUGGGAAUAUCUCUAGUUGCAGAAGACUUCUUGAUCAUACGAAGAAUAGCCAUGAUCUCUUAGUUUUAGUAUAGGUGAGAAAAAAGGAAGGAUUGUAAGGUUACCAAAAAGCAGAGAAAGCUUUGAUGUUUGCUGAGUGUUGUGGUGGUAGAUACCUCAUUAGAUAUGUUUAUAUAGGAAAUGGCAACUCAUAUUGAUGUGUGUUGAAUAGGAAUGUGUGGGUACCAGCAGAAGACAAUGGCACUGUAGUAUCACAUGCUCUUGCCUUCCAAGUAUUGAAAACUAUGUGGUAUUAGUUAAACAACAAUAGGCCCCACCUUAUUUUGAAACAUGGAAAGAGCCAUUUGGAUUGGACAUCAGUACAAGACAAUGAUAUAUUAGCAAUCACAUGGUCCUGCCCUCCAGCUAGUUUGACAUGAUUAAUUACUUUGGCAUAUAUAAGUUCAAGUUCAAUCGGUCCUACAUAUAUUUUCCUAUAGGGAACAAAGGAUCUCUAAGAAUCAAAUCCACAUAUAUUGCUGGUAGCUUAUGAGGAUAUCUAGGAAUUAACCAUACCCCAGAUGCAAACUGUGUCUACUUAUAUAAAAAGGAUAAGAGAUAAAAAGUUGGCUUAUUAAAAUUCCGAGACAGUUGGUCAAAAUCAGAUGAUCAAAUAGAAACAGGGGGAAUAUUAUAUAUGCAAGAACAAUCCAUUGAUUAAUAGUUGGCUCCCUAAGUACAUUUGGUAACUAAUGUGAAUAUUACCAUAACCAACAAACACAAAGUAACAAAUACACCUAAAAAAGGCUUCUAAUCACAUAACCACCUUCUAGAAAGGGUGCAAUGAGAAAAUAGGCCUUCAAAAUAAAGCUAAUUACAAAUAAGCCUCUGAAUCAAACUGCUACAACUACGACCUUUUCUCCCUAUUUAUAAUAGAUCUAAUCUUUCCACGAUAUCCUUCUUAAUCUGUAACACAACUGUUCCAGUUUGAACAUUCAUGUGCUUGAAUGUAGUCCAGUUCCUAGCCUUCCAAGUAAAUAAUCUUGUUUGUUAUCUUUUACAAGUACAUUGGUUUCUUCAUAAACAAACAUAAAUAAGUUGGGAUCUUCCUCCAUAAAUAGCAUCCCAUCUCUAUAUCCCUAACACAACUAUUAGUACUUUUUUAGUAGCAUUAAGCUCUCAAAUUUCUUCAAGAAAACAUACAAAAAUGGCCAUCAGAAAAUCAAACAACUUAAUCACAAGCUGCAGUUUUAAAGCAAAAUUAUGAAUAGGUAUUCAAAUUUGGGUAUGCUGAGAUUUAUUUGCUAAUGAGUCCAACCAACGACCCGACCCCUAAGAGAAACAAUCAUUUAAAGUAAAUAAAUUAUAAGAUCAGAACAUAAGCAAGAUAAGUGAAAGAGACUAUGGGUCCUAGGGAACUUAAAAAGACACAUGGUGAUCUCUAAUGCUUUUAUGAUUGAAUGCAGUCUGGGAUAAUCUUGAAAAAAUAGGUGAAAGAAAUGACACUAAUUAACUUCAACAUGCACUAGAAAAAUUUAGCUCUUAUUCAGGUCAGGAACAAAUGGCAGGAAUUACCUUCUUUCGACUCCCCAUCGUGUGAAGUUGUGCACUCCCCUCAAGCUUGUACUUCAUUAUGACAAAUGCUAACUAGUUUCAUUAGAAACACCAGGUCGUGUGAGUUACUAAAAUAUCUGAUUGAGAUAAUAUCAGAAAGAGAACUAACCCUUCCAUGAACGUUGAUAACAUGACCUUUCAUCAGAGAAUACACCGUCACCACAACUUGGGGUGGAGGAUUUACCAAAUUGAUGGUAUGACUGCUGUGGAAACUCCAAGCAGAUAGCUUCUGCAAAAUGAUGCAGUCUCCUUACAGCUCUAGUU
This 11152-nucleotide long non-coding RNA is filed under the name Solanum lycopersicum (tomato). RNAcentral describes it as "long non-coding RNA (SLYC_LNC001112)". Lineage: Eukaryota; Viridiplantae; Streptophyta; Magnoliopsida; Solanales; Solanaceae. The record is from RNAcentral.